CUACGGGGGGCACCAGCUAGGAAUUUUUUGCAAUGCACGCAAGUGUGACAAAGCGAGCCAGAGUGCUUUUCCGUAUUGGAAAAGCUUUUGUGAGAUGUAAAAAGUCUCACGAAUAAGGACUGGGCAAGACUGGUGCCAGCCGCCGCGGUAAUACCAGCGGUCCAAGUCGCAGCCACUUUUAUUGGGUCUAAAACAUCCGUAGCUUGCUGAGUAAGUCUCUUGUGAAAUCUGGCAUCUUAAGUGUUGGGCGUGCAAGAGAUACUGCUUAGCUAGAGACCGGGAGACGUGAAGAGUACGGAUAGGGUAGCGGUCAAAUGCGUUGAUCCUUUCCGGACUAACAAUAGCGAAGGCACUUCACGAGAACGGAUCUGACAGUGAGGGAUGAAGGCUAGGGGCGCAAAACGGAUUAGAUACCCCCGUAGUC
RNAcentral lists this ribosomal RNA (424 nucleotides) under uncultured archaeon. RNAcentral's name for it is "partial 16S ribosomal RNA". It matches the Rfam family "Archaeal small subunit ribosomal RNA", at positions 323 to 746 of the family's 1478-position model. The record is from RNAcentral.